RNAcentral lists this ribosomal RNA (433 nucleotides) under uncultured bacterium. Its description in RNAcentral is "partial 16S ribosomal RNA". It matches the Rfam family "Bacterial small subunit ribosomal RNA", at positions 29 to 507 of the family's 1533-position model. The record is from RNAcentral.
AACGAACGCUGGCGGUAUGCCUAACACAUGCAAGUCGAACGAGACCUUCGGGUCUAGUGGCGCACGGGUGCGUAACGCGUGGGAACCUGCCCUUAGGUUCGGAAUAACUCUCCGACAGGGGUGCUAAUACCGGAAAAUUUCUUCUGACCAAAGAUUUAUCGCCCUUGGAUGGGCCCGCGUUGGUUAAGCUAGUCGGUAGGGUAAAAGCCUAUCAAGGAUACGAUCCAUAGCUGGUUUGAGAGAAUGAGCAGCCACUCUGAGACUGGGACACGGCCCAGACUACUACGGGAAGCAGCAGUGGCGGAUAUAGGACAAUGGGCGAAAGCCUGAACCAGCAAGGCCGCGUGAGUGAUGAAGUCCUUAGAGUUGUAAAGCACUUUUACCCGGGAUGAUAAUGACGGUACCGAAAGAAUAAGCACCGGCUAACUCCGUG